Molecule: ribosomal RNA, 831 nt
Filed under: Thermococcus sp. 70-4-2
Lineage: Archaea; Methanobacteriati; Methanobacteriota; Thermococci; Thermococcales; Thermococcaceae
Description: bacterial SSU rRNA
Rfam family: Archaeal small subunit ribosomal RNA
Source: RNAcentral
UGCGAGUCAUGGGGCGCGCUCUGCGCGCACCGGCGGUCGGCUCAGUAACACGUCGGUAACCUACCCUCGGGAGGGGGAUAACCCCGGGAAACUGGGGCUAAUCCCCCAUAGGCCUGAGGUACUGGAAGGUCCUCAGGCCGAAAGGGGCAUCUGCCCGCCCGAGGAUGGGCCGGCGGCCGAUUAGGUAGUUGGUGGGGUAACGGCCCACCAAGCCGAAGAUCGGUACGGGCCAUGAGAGUGGGAGCCCGGAGAUGGACACUGAGACACGGGUCCAGGCCCUACGGGGCGCAGCAGGCGCGAAACCUCCGCAAUGCGGGAAACCGCGACGGGGGGACCCCCAGUGCCGUGGCAUCGCCACGGCUUUUCCGGAGUGUAAAGAGCUCCGGGAAUAAGGGCUGGGCAAGGCCGGUGGCAGCCGCCGCGGUAAUACCGGCGGCCCGAGUGGUGGCCGCUAUUAUUGGGCCUAAAGCGUCCGUAGCCGGGCCCGUAAGUCCCUGGCGAAAUCCCACGGCUCAACCGUGGGGCUUGCUGGGGAUACUGCGGGCCUUGGGACCGGGAGAGGCGGAGGGUACUCCUGGGGUAGGGGUGAAAUCCUAUAAUCCCAGGAGGACCGCCAGUGGCGAAGGCGCUCCGCUGGAACGGGUCCGACGGUGAGGGACGAAGGCCAGGGGAGCGAACCGGAUUAGAUACCCGGGUAGUCCUGGCUGUAAAGGAUGCGGGCUAGGUGUCGGGCGAGCUUCGAGCUCGCCCGGUGCCGAAGGGAAGCCGUUAAGCCCGCCGCCUGGGGAGUACGGCCGCAAGGCUGAAACUUAAAGGAAUUGGCGGGGAGCA